RNAcentral lists this ribosomal RNA (567 nucleotides) under Monascus floridanus. RNAcentral describes it as "LSU rRNA". It matches the Rfam family "Eukaryotic large subunit ribosomal RNA", at positions 74 to 655 of the family's 3401-position model. Lineage: Eukaryota; Fungi; Ascomycota; Eurotiomycetes; Eurotiales; Aspergillaceae. The record is from RNAcentral.
AUUGCCUCAGUAACGGCGAGUGAAGCGGCAAGAGCUCAAAUUUGAAAGCUGGCCCCCAGCGGGGUCCGCAUUGUAAUUUGCAGAGGAUGCUUCGGGCACGGCCCCCGUCUAAGUGCCCUGGAACGGGCUGUCGGAGAGGGUGAGAAUCCCGUCUGGGACGGGGUGUCCGGGUCCGUGUGAAGCUCCUUCGACGAGUCGAGUUGUUUGGGAAUGCAGCUCUAAAUGGGUGGUAAAUUUCAUCUAAAGCUAAAUACUGGCCGGAGACCGAUAGCGCACAAGUAGAGUGAUCGAAAGAUGAAAAGCACUUUGAAAAGAGAGUUAAACAGCACGUGAAAUUGUUGAAAGGGAAGCGCUUGCGAUCAGACUCGCCCGCAGGGUUCAGCCGGCACUCGUGCCGGUGUACUUCCCUGCGGGCGGGCCAGCGUCAGUUCGGGUGGCCGGUCAAAGGCCCCGGGAAUGUGUCGCCCUCCGGGGCGUCUUAUAGCCCGGGGUGCCAUGCGGCCCGCCUGGACUGAGGAACGCGCUUCGGCACGGACGCUGGCGUAAUGGUCGUAAGCGGCCCGUCUU